GUCGAGAAUCUUUCACAAUGGGGGCAACCCUGAUGGAGCGACGCCGCGUGGAGGAUAAGGUCUUCGGAUUGUAAACUCCUGUCAUGCGUGAACAAGGUUGCUUGGUUAAUACCUGGGCAAAUUGAUGGUAACGCAAGAGGAAGAGACGGCUAACUCUGUGCCAGCAGCCGCGGUAAUACAGAGGUCUCAAGCGUUGUUCGGAAUCACUGGGCGUAAAGGGUGCGUAGGUGGCGUGGUAAGUCAGAUGUGAAAGCCCGGGGCUCAACCUCGGAACGGCAUCCGAUACUGCCAUGCUAGAGUACUGGAGAGGUGACUAGAAUUCUCGGUGUAGCAGUGAAAUGCGUAGAUAUCGAGAGGAAUACCAAAGGCGUAGGCAGGUCACUGGACAGUUACUGACACUGAGGCACGAAGGCCAGGGGAGCGAACGGGAUUAGAAACCCGGGUAGUCC
This 449-nucleotide ribosomal RNA is filed under the name uncultured bacterium. RNAcentral describes it as "partial 16S ribosomal RNA". It matches the Rfam family "Bacterial small subunit ribosomal RNA", at positions 354 to 796 of the family's 1533-position model. The record is from RNAcentral.